This 253-nucleotide ribosomal RNA is filed under the name uncultured bacterium. RNAcentral describes it as "partial 16S ribosomal RNA". It matches the Rfam family "Bacterial small subunit ribosomal RNA", at positions 524 to 776 of the family's 1533-position model. The record is from RNAcentral.
GACGAACCGUCCAAACGUUACUCGGAAUCACUGGGCUUAAAGGGUGCGUAGGCGGCCUGGUAAGUUGGGUGUGAAAGCCCUCGGCUCAACCGAGGAAUUGCGCCCAAUACUGUCGGGCUUGAGGAAGAUAGAGGUGAGCGGAACUAAGGGUGGAGCGGUGAAAUGCGUUGAUAUCCUUAGGAACACCAGUAGCGAAAGCGGCUCGCUGGGUCUUUUCUGACGCUGAGGCACGAAAGCUAGGGGAGCGACCGGG